AGUAAAGCCAUGAUGAGGGCAUUG
This 24-nucleotide non-coding RNA is filed under the name Arabidopsis thaliana (thale cress). Lineage: Eukaryota; Viridiplantae; Streptophyta; Magnoliopsida; Brassicales; Brassicaceae. The record is from RNAcentral.